AAAUGAAUAGACGGGGACCCGCACAAGCGGUGGAGCAUGUGCUUUAAUUCGAUGCAACGCGUAGAACCUUACCCGGUCUUGACAUAGUUCUGCCUGUUCCAGAGAUGGGACUUUCAGCAAUGACAGGACAUACAGAUGCUGCAUGGUUGUCGUCAGCUCGUGUCGUGAGAUGUUGGGUUAAGUCCCGCAACGAGCGCAACCCUUGCCAAUAGUUGCCAGCGAGUAAUGUCGGGGACUCUAUUGGGACUGCCUUCGCAAGGAGGAGGAAGGUGGGGAUGACGUCAAAUCAUCAUGGCUCUUACGACCGGGGCUAGACACGUGCUACAAUGGCGAUUACAAUGGGCUGCUACUUGGCAACAAGAUGCUAAUCUCAAAAAAAUCGUCUCAGUUCGGAUUGAGGUCUGCAACUCGACCUCAUGAAGUUGGAAUCGCUAGUAAUCGCAGGUCAGCAUACUGCGGUGAAUACGUUCCCGGGUCUUGUACACACCGCCCGU
Molecule: ribosomal RNA, 494 nt
Filed under: uncultured bacterium
Lineage: Bacteria
Description: bacterial SSU rRNA
Rfam family: Bacterial small subunit ribosomal RNA
Source: RNAcentral